RNAcentral lists this ribosomal RNA (247 nucleotides) under uncultured bacterium. RNAcentral's name for it is "partial 16S ribosomal RNA". It matches the Rfam family "Bacterial small subunit ribosomal RNA", at positions 523 to 769 of the family's 1533-position model. The record is from RNAcentral.
AUACGUAGGGUGCAAGCGUUGUUCGGAAUUAUUGGGCGUAAAGCGCGUGUAGGCGGUCUUUUAAGUCUGAUGUGAAAGCCCCGGGCUCAACCUGGGAAGUGCAUUGGAAACUGGGGGACUUGAGUACGGGAGAGGGUAGUGGAAUUCCUAGUGUAGGAGUGAAAUCCGUAGAUAUUAGGAGGAACACCGGUGGCGAAGGCGGCUACCUGGACCGAUACUGACGCUGAGACGCGAAAGCGUGGGGAGC